This 83-nucleotide ribosomal RNA is filed under the name uncultured bacterium. RNAcentral describes it as "partial 16S ribosomal RNA". The record is from RNAcentral.
UCACGAAAGUGAAUUGUACUAGAAGUCUGCAGGCUAACCCGCAAGGGAGGCAGCGGCCCAAGGUAUGAUCCAUGAUUGGGGUG